CCCGUACCGUAAACCGACACAGGUAGAUGAGGAGAGAAUCCUAAGGUGAGCGAGAGAACUAUUGUUAAGGAACUCGGCAAAAUAACCCCGUAACUUCGGGAGAAGGGGUGCCUGCGAAAGCAGGCCGCAGUGAAGAGGCCCAGGCGACUGUUUACCAAAAACACAGGUUUCUGCAAAAGCGAGAGCUGAAGUAUAGGAGCUGACGCCUGCCCGGUGCUGGAAGGUUAAGGGGAAUGCUUAGCGGUAACGCGAAGGUGUGAACUUAAGCCCCAGUAAACGGCGGCCGUAACAAUAACGGUCCUAAGGUAGCGAAAUUCCUUGUCGGGUAAGUUCCGACCCGCACGAAAGGCGUAACGAUCUGGGCACUGUCUCAACAAUAGACUCGGUGAAAUUGUAGUACCGGUAAAGAUGCCGGUUACCCGCAGCAGGACGGAAAGACCCCGUGGAGCUUUACUGUAGCUUGAUAUUGGAUUUCGACAUUGCAUGUACAGGAUAGGUGGGAGGCUAUGAACCUUGGACGCCAGUUUGAGGGGAGCCACUGUUGGGAUACCACUCUUGUAAUGUUGAAGUUCUACCUACGUACCGUGAUCCGGUACUAGGACAGUGUCAGGUGGGCAGUUUGACUGGGGCGGUCGCCUCCUAAAGAGUAACGGAGGCGCCCAAAGGUUCCCUCAGCGCGGCCGGAAAUCGCGCGAAGAGUGUAAAGGCAGAAGGGAGCUUGAUUGCGAGACCAACAAGUCGAGCAAGGACGAAAGUCGGGCUUAGUGAUCCGGUGGUACCGAGUGGAAGGGCCAUCGCUCAACGGAUAAAAGCUACCCCGGGGAUAACAGGCUGAUACCCCCCAAGAGUUCAUCGACGGGGGUGUUUGGCACCUUGAUGUCGGCUCGUCUCAUCCUGGGGCUGAAGCAGGUCCCAAGGGUUGGGCUGUUCGCCCAUUAAAGAGGUACGCGAGCUGGGUUCAGAACGUCGUGAGACAGUUCGGUCCCUAUCCGCUGUGGGCGUUGGAAAUUUGAGAGGAGCUGUCCUUAGUACGAGAGGACCGGGAUGGACAUACCGCUGGUGCACCAGUUGUCUUGCCAAAGGCAUAGCUGGGUAGCUACGUAUGGAAGGGAUAAGAGCUGAAAGCAUCUAAGUUCGAAGCCCCCCUCGAGAAGAGAUUUCCUAGGACUUCGGUCCGGAAGACCCGUGGGAGACUACCACGUAGAUAGGUCGGAGGUGUAAGUGCAGCAAUGUAUUUAGCUGACCGAUACUAAUAGGUCGAACGC
This 1265-nucleotide ribosomal RNA is filed under the name metagenome. RNAcentral describes it as "bacterial LSU rRNA". It matches the Rfam family "Bacterial large subunit ribosomal RNA", at positions 1641 to 2925 of the family's 2925-position model. The record is from RNAcentral.